GCCCCUCUGCACUGACAACCGGACCAACAAGGCAAGCACCUGUUCCUAACCAUGACAGCCAAGUUGGAAGCCCCUCUGCAGCUCACUGCUGCAGGUGCUCUGCUCCUCGUGCAACUGUUGGCACACAAACAGAGGCGACAGAUGCAGACACUGCAGAUUCUGUCAUACCCGUGUCUGCACAGGUCAACCCUGGGUGCAAUGCGGCUGCCC
RNAcentral lists this long non-coding RNA (210 nucleotides) under Ixodes scapularis (black-legged tick). Its description in RNAcentral is "uncharacterized LOC121835167, transcript variant X1". The record is from RNAcentral. Lineage: Eukaryota; Metazoa; Arthropoda; Arachnida; Ixodida; Ixodidae.